Molecule: long non-coding RNA, 798 nt
Filed under: Citrus sinensis (sweet orange)
Lineage: Eukaryota; Viridiplantae; Streptophyta; Magnoliopsida; Sapindales; Rutaceae
Description: long non-coding RNA (CSIN_LNC000451)
Source: RNAcentral
UUUGAUUUCAAAGAAGAUUCAGGCACGAGAUUAGAGUCCCAUUCAUCCACAGAAGGUUUUGCAGGAGUGGGGGAAUACCCUCCCCAUUCACCAGAAACAUCAGGAAGGUGUGGUCUGCCACCCACUUGACUGGAAGCUGUACUCCAGCUGGGACCCGAAUCCUGAACUGGAGCUGUUGAAGGCAGAGACUGUCCAAUUCCAGCAUCCUUACCUUUCAUGUCUCCAUGGUUCGACUUUGGAGUAGGGCUGGGAAGGUCUGAGAAAUCAAUCUCCUGACAAUCACCAGCAACAUCAACAAGCUGUGACCCCCCACCCACUGGACCGGAGGCUGUACUCCAGCUGGGGCCUGAAUCCUGAAUCGGAGCUUCUGAAGACAGAGACUGUUUAAUUCCAGCAUUCUCACGUUUCAAGUCUCCAUGGUUCAACUUUGGUGUUGGGCUGGCAACUUCAAGGCGUCCACCACCAUCCACUGAACAGGAAGCUGUACCCCACCUAGGGCCUGAAUCCCCAACAGGAGCUUCUGAAGGCGGCGACUGUUUGAUUCCAGCAUCCUGACUCUUCAAGUCUCCUCGGUUUGACUUUGGAGUGGGGCUGGGCAGGUCUGAGAAAUCAAUUUCCUGACUCUGGUCUGGCAUUUCUAGAGUCUUUGUGAAUGAAACAAAAGCAGAGUUGGAAUCACAGCCAUUUGAAGAAUUCUGUAUGGCUGGACAUCUGCAGUUUUGUCCAGACGACUGGCCUGAAUUGUACUUGCUAUCAACUUGUUUGUCAUAACCAUUCCCAAUGUCAGUUUGACCCUCC